UACGGGGGGAGCAAGCGUUGUCCGGAAUUACUGGGCGUAAAGCGUGCGCAGGCGGUUUUGUAAGACAGAUGUGAAAUCCCCGGGCUUAACCUGGGAACUGCAUUUGUGACUGCAAGGCUAGAGUACGGCAGAGGGGGGUAGAAUUCCACGUGUAGCAGUGAAAUGCGUAGAUAUGUGGAGGAAUACCGAUGGCGAAGGCAGCCCCCUGGGUCGAUACUGACGCUCAUGCACGAAAGCGUGGGGAGCAAACAGG
This 253-nucleotide ribosomal RNA is filed under the name uncultured bacterium. RNAcentral describes it as "partial 16S ribosomal RNA". It matches the Rfam family "Bacterial small subunit ribosomal RNA", at positions 524 to 776 of the family's 1533-position model. The record is from RNAcentral.